GACAGAGGUGCCGAGCGUUAGGCGGAAUCACUGGGCUUAAAGCGUGUGUAGGCGGCGAUCAAGUACCUUGUGAAAUCCCACGGCUCAACCGUGGAACGCUGGGUAUACUGGUUGUCUUGAGCCGGCUAGGGGCGAGCGGAACAGACGGUGGAGCGGUGAAAUGCGUAGAUAUCGUCUGGAACGCCGAAGGUGAAAACAGCUCGCUGGGGCCGUCGCUGCGCUGAGACACGAAAGCCAGGGGAGCGAACGG
This 250-nucleotide ribosomal RNA is filed under the name uncultured bacterium. RNAcentral's name for it is "partial 16S ribosomal RNA". It matches the Rfam family "Bacterial small subunit ribosomal RNA", at positions 524 to 775 of the family's 1533-position model. The record is from RNAcentral.